GAAUGCUGACAUAAGUAACGAUAAAGCGGGUGAAAAGCCCGCUCGCCGGAAGACCAAGGGUUCCUGUCCAACGUUAAUCGGGGCAGGGUGAGUCGACCCCUAAGGCGAGGCCGAAAGGCGUAGUCGAUGGGAAACGGGUUAAUAUUCCCGUACUUGGUGUUACUGCGAAGGGGGGACGGAGAAGGCUAUGUUGGCCGGGCGACGGUUGUCCCGGUUUAAGCGUGUAGGUGUGUGUUCCAGGUAAAUCCGGUUCACUUUAACACUGAGGCGUGACGACGAGGCACUACGGUGCUGAAGCAACAAAUGCCCUGCUUCCAGGAAAAGCCUCUAAGCAUCAGGUAACAUCAAAUCGUACCCCAAACCGACACAGGUGGUCAGGUAGAGAAUACCAAGGCGCUUGAGAGAACUCGGGUGAAGGAACUAGGCAAAAUGGUGCCGUAACUUCGGGAGAAGGCACGCUGACACGUAGGUGAAGUGAUUUACUCAUGGAGCUGAAGUCAGUCGAAGAUACCAGCUGGCUGCAACUGUUUAUUAAAAACACAGCACUGUGCAAACACGAAAGUGGACGUAUACGGUGUGACGCCUGCCCGGUGCCGGAAGGUUAAUUGAUGGGGUCAGCGCAAGCGAAGCUCCUGAUCGAAGCCCCGGUAAACGGCGGCCGUAACUAUAACGGUCCUAAGGUAGCGAAAUUCCUUGUCGGGUAAGUUCCGACCUGCACGAAUGGCGUAAUGAUGGCCAGGCUGUCUCCACCCGAGACUCAGUGAAAUUGAACUCGCUGUGAAGAUGCAGUGUACCCGCGGCAAGACGGAAAGACCCCGUGAACCUUUACUAUAGCUUGACACUGAACAUUGAGCCUUGAUGUGUAGGAUAGGUGGGAGGCUUUGAAGUGUGGACGCCAGUCUGCAUGGAGCCGACCUUGAAAUACCACCCUUUAAUGUUUGAUGUUCUAACGUGGACCCGUUACCCGGGUUGCGGACAGUGUCUGGUGGGUAGUUUGACUGGGGCGGUCUCCUCCUAAAGAGUAACGGAGGAGCACGAAGGUUGGCUAAUCCUGGUCGGACAUCAGGAGGUUAGUGCAAUGGCAUAAGCCAGCUUGACUGCGAGCGUGACGGCGCGAGCAGGUGCGAAAGCAGGUCAUAGUGAUCCGGUGGUUCUGAAUGGAAGGGCCAUCGCUCAACGGAUAAAAGGUACUCCGGGGAUAACAGGCUGAUACCGCCCAAGAGUUCAUAUCGACGGCGGUGUUUGGCACCUCGAUGUCGGCUCAUCACAUCCUGGGGCUGAAGUAGGUCCCAAGGGUAUGGCUGUUCGCCAUUUAAAGUGGUACGCGAGCUGGGUUUAGAACGUCGUGAGACAGUUCGGUCCCUAUCUGCCGUGGGCGCUGGAGAACUGAGGGGGGCUGCUCCUAGUACGAGAGGACCGGAGUGGACGCAUCACUGGUGUUCGGGUUGUCAUGCCAAUGGCACUGCCCGGUAGCUAAAUGCGGAAGAGAUAAGUGCUGAAAGCAUCUAAGCACGAAACUUGCCCCGAGAUGAGUUCUCCCUGAGACUUAAAGUCUCCUGAAGGAACGUUGAAGACGACGACGUUGAUAGGCCGGGUGUGUAAGCGCAGCGAUGCGUUGAGCUAAC
RNAcentral lists this ribosomal RNA (1625 nucleotides) under Salmonella enterica. RNAcentral describes it as "partial 23S ribosomal RNA". It matches the Rfam family "Bacterial large subunit ribosomal RNA", at positions 1292 to 2895 of the family's 2925-position model. The record is from RNAcentral. Lineage: Bacteria; Pseudomonadati; Pseudomonadota; Gammaproteobacteria; Enterobacterales; Enterobacteriaceae. RNAcentral also lists the same sequence under 1 other name.